This 492-nucleotide ribosomal RNA is filed under the name uncultured bacterium. RNAcentral's name for it is "partial 16S ribosomal RNA". It matches the Rfam family "Bacterial small subunit ribosomal RNA", at positions 29 to 507 of the family's 1533-position model. The record is from RNAcentral.
AGUGAACGCUGGCGGUAGGCCUAACACAUGCAAGUCGAACGGCAGCACAGUAAGAGCUUGUUCUUACGGGUGGCGAGUGGCGGACGGGUGAGGAGUACAUCGGAAUCUACUUUUUCGUGGGGGAUAACGUAGGGAAACUUUCGCUAAUACCGCAUACGACCUACGGGUGAAAGCAGGGGAUCUUCGGACCUUGCUCGAUUGGAUGAGCCGAUGUCGGUUUAGCUAGUUGGCGGGGUAAAGGCCCACAAAGGCGACGAUCCGUCGCUGGUAUGAGAGGAGGAUCAGCCACACGGGAACUGAGACACGGUCCAGACUCCUACGGGAGGAAGCAUGGGGGAAUAUUGGACAAUGGGCGCAAGCCUGAGCCAGCCAUACCGCGUGGGUGAAGAAGGCCUUCGGGUUGUAAAGCCCGUUUGUUGGGAAAGAAAAGCAUCAGGUUAAUACCCCGCUGUUCUGACGGUACCCAAAGAAUAAGCACCGGCUAACUUCGUG